UACGGGGGGGGCAAGCGUUGUUCGGAAUUACUGGGCGUAAAGGGCUCGUAGGCGGCCAACUAAGUCAGACGUGAAAUCCCCAGGCUUAACCUGGGAACUGCGUCUGAUACUGGAUGGCUUGAAUUCGGGAGAGGGAUGCAGAAUUCCAGGUGUAGCGGUGAAAUGCGUAGAUAUCAGGAGGAACACCGGUGGCGAAGGCGGGUCUCUGGGCCGAUAUCGACGCUGAGGAGCGAAAGCGUGGGGAGCGAACAGG
RNAcentral lists this ribosomal RNA (253 nucleotides) under uncultured bacterium. RNAcentral describes it as "partial 16S ribosomal RNA". It matches the Rfam family "Bacterial small subunit ribosomal RNA", at positions 524 to 776 of the family's 1533-position model. The record is from RNAcentral.